RNAcentral lists this small RNA (127 nucleotides) under Marmota monax (woodchuck). The record is from RNAcentral. Lineage: Eukaryota; Metazoa; Chordata; Mammalia; Rodentia; Sciuridae.
GCUGGGUGCAGUGGUGCACGCCUGUAAUCCCAGCAAUUUGGGAGGCUGAGGCAGGAGGAUUGCAAGUUCGUGGCCAGCCCUCGAAAUUUAGUGAGGCCCUAGGCAACUUAGCAAAACUCUGCCUCAA